RNAcentral lists this ribosomal RNA (253 nucleotides) under uncultured bacterium. Its description in RNAcentral is "partial 16S ribosomal RNA". It matches the Rfam family "Bacterial small subunit ribosomal RNA", at positions 524 to 776 of the family's 1533-position model. The record is from RNAcentral.
CACGUAGGGCGCAAGCGUUGUCCGGAAUCAUUGGGCGUAAAGAGCGUGUAGGCGGCCCGAUAAGUCCGCCGUGAAAGCCCAGGGCUCAACCCUGGGAUGCCGGUGGAUACUGUCGGGCUAGAAUCCGGAAGAGGCGAGUGGAAUUCCUGGUGUAGCGGUGAAAUGCGCAGAUAUCAGGAGGAACACCGAUGGCGAAGGCAGCUCGCUGGGACGGUAUUGACGCUGAGACGCGAAAGCGUGGGGAGCAAACAGG